AAGUCGUAACAAGGUUUCCGUAGGUGAACCUGCGGAAGGAUCAUUAUCACGUAUUAAUCCACGUUAUAAACCCUUCUUUGAACUGUUUUUAACUAAACAAUUUCUAGAGUAAGUGAAUGGACAAUGGGCGACGAAACACGACUUUGGACUGCGCGUCCGAUGAAAGGAAUGCUAAUUGUAAUUUGAACAUUCCGACUGUUUCAUGUAGCUAGAUGUGUUCUCUCUCGUAGAGACAAUUCUAUUUAUCUGUUUGUCAGAUAAACCGUCAUCAUUCGAGUUCUCUGGGAUGUAAUUCAAAUUUUACAUAUAUUAUUGAUUAACAAUACUUGAACCCCUUUUGAUAAAUUGAACUUAUAGAUCGUUACCCUCGUAAAAACAGGGACUGAUCAACAUACGAAACAAAGAACAACUCUUAGCAACGGAUAUCUUGGUUCUC
Molecule: unclassified non-coding RNA, 436 nt
Filed under: fungal sp.
Lineage: Eukaryota; Fungi
Description: partial internal transcribed spacer region
Rfam family: Eukaryotic small subunit ribosomal RNA (bases 1-46)
Source: RNAcentral